UGCCAGACUCCUACGGGAGGCAGCAGUGGGGAAUAUUGCACAAUGGGCGAAAGCCUGAUGCAGCGACGCCGCGUGAGUGAAGAAGUAUUUCGGUAUGUAAAGCUCUAUCAGCAGGGAAGAAAAUGACGGUACCUGACUAAGAAGCCCCGGCUAACUACGUGCCAGCAGCCGCGGUAAUACGUAGGGGGCAAGCGUUAUCCGGAUUUACUGGGUGUAAAGGGAGCGUAGACGGCAAUACAAGUCGGAAGUGAAAUACCCGGGCUCAACCUGGGAACUGCUUUGGAAACUGUAUGGCUGGAGUGCUGGAGAGGUAAGCGGAAUUCCUAGUGUAGCGGUGAAAUGCGUAGAUAUUAGGAGGAACACCAGUGGCGAAGGCGGCUUACUGGACUGUAACUGACACUGAGGCUCGAAAGCGUGGGGAGCAAACAGGAUUAGAUACCCCAGUA
This 446-nucleotide ribosomal RNA is filed under the name uncultured bacterium. RNAcentral describes it as "bacterial SSU rRNA". It matches the Rfam family "Bacterial small subunit ribosomal RNA", at positions 329 to 792 of the family's 1533-position model. The record is from RNAcentral.